GACGACCCAAGAAAUGCCUUGGAGGUUGAGAGAGGCAGUGGAAGGAUUGGACCAACAUGGCACACAUCCCGCUGUAAUCCAUUUUGUUAUGAUGUGUCAGGGGAUGGUGAAGAGGUUCAAGCUUGAAUUAGAAGAACUCAUAACUCGAAAGACUGCUGUGUGAUUCUUUUGUUUUUCUUAUAUUCAGUUUAGUAUUUGAGCUGUAUCGAUUUGGGCGGUUAUGCCUUUGUACUCCGUACUUUAAACAUUU
RNAcentral lists this long non-coding RNA (250 nucleotides) under Lathyrus oleraceus (garden pea). RNAcentral describes it as "Pisum sativum (pea) long non-coding RNA (PSAT_LNC041206)". Lineage: Eukaryota; Viridiplantae; Streptophyta; Magnoliopsida; Fabales; Fabaceae. The record is from RNAcentral.